Molecule: ribosomal RNA, 221 nt
Filed under: uncultured Staphylococcus sp.
Lineage: Bacteria; Bacillati; Bacillota; Bacilli; Caryophanales; Staphylococcaceae
Description: partial 16S ribosomal RNA
Rfam family: Bacterial small subunit ribosomal RNA
Source: RNAcentral
AUAACUUCGGGAAACCGGAGCUAAUACCGGAUAAUAUAUUGAACCGCAUGGUUCAAUAGUGAAAGACGGUUUUGCUGUCACUUAUAGAUGGAUCCGCGCCGCAUUAGCUAGUUGGUAAGGUAACGGCUUACCAAGGCAACGAUGCGUAGCCGACCUGAGAGGGUGAUCGGCCACACUGGAACUGAGACACGGGUCCCAGACUCCUACGGGAGGCAGCAGCC